UUUGGGCCACAGCUCCAGGUCUCAUCUCACUGGACCACCCAGACAGAAAUUACCACCCAUUAAGAGAAAAGACUCCUCUGUGAACCUGAAAGAACUCAAUUAAGUCCAGUGGACAACAUGGCUAAGACACUAUGAUAGGUGCAGGGACAGGGAACAGAUAAUUAGGAACAGAAAUAUAAAUAUAAAUAUAACAUGGCUCCAGAACUUUGUAACAAUUUUUUUCCUAUGAAGUCUUUUCUGUGCCUCCCUUCCUAGAAUGGACUUCCCCCACUCAAGAGCCUCACUGAACCAGAAACAUUUAUUACCUGCAAAAUUUCAUCAUACUUUGAAUUUAUUUAACAAAGGAAAAUUCAGCAGUUGAUCCUCCUUAGAAGGCUGGAGGAGAGGAAAAAAAUUGCAAUUGAAGUUAACCUUUACUUUUCCCCUCUAUUGACCUCCAGCUCCUUGAAGGCAGGAAAUGCACCUGUACUGUUUAGCACAGGGUCUAGAGCACAGUAAGUGUUCAGAAUGAAUCACUGAAUGAAUCAAGUUAACUAAGUAAUCCAAUCAAGCGGUGGAGAGAAAUAAUAUAAACAACUGAGUAAGAAACAGCACAGUUUAACAACUAAGAUUUUUCCAAAUGGAGAUUUGCAGCUGAAAAAAAAUAAUGCUAAAACAACCCCCAAAAGUUGAAACAUCAAAGAGAAGAGUCCAUAACACGCAGUAUAACAUUAUCUUUUUGCCUUCUUCAGGCUGUCUUCUAAAAGCAUGCUGUGGACACCGUAAUUUAUUCUGCCCAAUGUUCUACAAUUGCAAGCUACAGGCAGGGUAUGCAGUUCACUGUAAUAAUAUUUAGACUCUAAUCUGCUCCCCUUAGCUCAUCUACUAUCCUGCUUCACAUCCUAUGAUACUACACAUGGGAAAGGCCUCAUGAAAGGGAUUAAGCACCUCCUUUUACUCACAGUAAUGUUAAUAGCUUCUAUUUAUUUAGUACCUACUAUGGGCCAAGCACCCACUAGAUGCCUGCCAGGCUGAUCGUAUUUAAUCUUUGCAACAAUCCUAAUGAAGUGGGUGCUAGCUUUCCACAUUUACAGAUGAGAUUUCUGGGACACUUAAGUAAUUUUCCCCCAAACUCCAUGGUAAUGGGAGGCCAAGUGAAGAUGUGAAUUUGGGUUUGUCUAACUUCAGGGCCAGGACCCUUAAAUACCUAGCUAAACUCAGAAUUAUUAGAAUUACCUGACAGGAGAUAAGGGACAUCAAAUGCAACUCAAAUUUGUCAUUCCCAGAGAAAUAGAUCCCUCCUCAUAGGGCAUCCUGCUUUAAGCUGCCUUUAUGGGGUGAAGCUGCAAUUCUGGCCCAGCUCAGCUGCCCCCAGGAAUGACUACUGCCCACUGGUGCAGCAGGGAAGAAAGAUGGGGCAAAAUGAAGUCACACUUUAUUUCGAGGGGUCAUUUUCUGUGUCAGAGAAAAUGGGUCUUAACAUAUCUUGAACAAGCAGUGUAGUAGGCGACAACGAAUCCACAGUAAUCUCAGGAGGAAGCCAUUUCACCCUCUCGCAGUUACUGCUUUACCCGAAUGCAGGCAUGUAAAUAACCAAGAUAACUAGAGUCGAACUUAGAGCCUCCAGGGAGGGAAUUCAUAAGCACUGUGCAAAGUGGUUUAUAAAUGUCAUGUUAUUAUUUCUUAAAAUGGGUUAGGCAGGUGUUUAUCCACGCUUUUUUAUAGACCGAAAUGAUUUCCCAUUUUCAAAUCUUUCUCCUGUGGACUGGAAAUGGUUACAGGCUAUCUCUAAAGGAGAAAAUGAAUGCACAAGUGCGUAUGCUGUGUUGGAGCUGGAAGGGGCCUCCAGUGCAGCCUGCCCAGCCGUCAUCAGGCUGAGGCCAGGAGAGCUGGUGCCUUGCCUCGGGACACAUCCUGGACACAUCAGUACAUGAGCUCAGCCUCAAACCCAGGUCUGUCUGCUCUUAGGCCAGGGUGUUUUCUGACAUCCCAGGGGAAGCAAUGUUAAUUCAGGGAUGCAACAGUCAGGGUGUCAUGUAAGGACCUGGAAUGCUAAUACCAGUCAGUAUGCCGCAACUGUUUCCAAAAAUAAAUAUAAAGAUUGGUACAUAAACAAUACAGAUAGAUUUUUUAAAUAAAAAUAUAUAGAUAAGAAAAAAUAAUGAUGGAUGGAAAAAUAUGAAACAGUCUUCUUACCCUCCAGAGAUAGUCACUGACUGAACCUGGUUAUCUUUGCUUCUGGACGUUUCUAUGCUUCCUGGUGCUUACAGAUUGAUUCUCCGAAGACCAUGGGGCCACCCUGUAAAUGCCAUUUGAUAACCAGCUUAGUAGCAUAUUUCAAACACCUUCCCAAGGGAAUGUAUCUUCAUCUAUGUUACUUUUUAUGGCUGACUAGCAUCCCACGGUAUGGCUGCUCUGUAAUUCAUUAAGUCAGCUCUCUACUGUGAGACUCUCAACAUUUUUUUCACUGCUAGAAGCAAUAGAAACAUGGAGUGAUAACUAAAUGGCAUCAGCCCCCUUCCAGUGGUGCUUCCUUAGAGCUGUGUCAGCAGGGAUGAGCUCCUGACCCCUCCGUGCCUUUUCCUGCACCAGCAAUCACGCCCCCCUCACAGGGAUUGUUGGCUGUUUUAGGAGAGAGAACGCAUAUAGGAUUUGCUAAACACAUGUUCCUUGCUUUAGUUAUUAUUUAGUUUUAUACUAGGUUUUUAUUAACAAGUCUUCCACGAAAAUCUUUUUAGCUAAUUUUUUGUGCACGCCCUUAAUUAUUUCCUGAGAACAAGUCUUAGAAAUUGUAUCAUUAAACCCAAAAGUGUUUAUGGAUUUUUCACAUUUAUUGUCAAGUCGCCCUCUUAAAAGAUGGUGCCAAGUUACUUUCCCAUGAAAAGAAAAAAGAGUGCUCAGGACCUCACACCUUGUCCACAGCUGGCAUAAUGAUUCCUUUUCAAUUCCAUUGUGUGUUGGGGAGUUAGUUUCCAUCUAUGUUUUGGCCAUUAAUAUCUCUUCUCCUUCUCCUCCUUUUCCUCUUCCUCUGCCUUCUUCUCUGUGGACUUGUCUCCGGCACAGUUUAAUCUCUCUGAAAUUGGUUGUGAAGUCCAUUUAGCAGCUGCUUUUUACUUUUGGGUAAAAACAAAUUCACUAGAUUGUACAACCACCGGGAGGACAAGGCCUGGACUGUUCCCCUCGCUGCUGUCACUCUCCAUAGACUUAUUGUGAAACGUUCCCAGGAAACACUGGUGGAAUGACUAACUGGCCGGAUGGCUGGAAGGCUGGUGGGUGGAGCAUCAUAAGAACAGUUCCUGAGGGCAGCCUGGCAGCAACUGACAUGGCAGAGGUCCCCUGGGCUGCCAAGCCUUCCCUUCAGUCCAUUUAAUGGAAGAUAUCUAGCCAGGAGCCACCCCUCGAGUAAAACUCUCACUACCAGAAAUUCCUUCCCAUUUCGGGAGACUUCUUGUUGUGAGGCUAGGCACGCCACCAAACAUGCAGCACCUCAGGCUCAUUUAUCUGACGGGGAGAGCCAGAGUCAGCACACAGGGGUGCAUCGCUGCAGGUGCUGACAUGCUGUGGAGAUGGGGGGGAAGAAGGAAGCAAAGCAAAUAAUGACCACUCAACAAAUUUUUCCAAAAGGCUCAGCUGACUAACUGGCUACAGCCAAGAUUCUACAAUGAGAAAGAAAUUUUUUUGACUUGUACUGACCUUAGAGAUGGAACUCCUUCAGUAAAAUGUGGUAAUUUGAAAUAAAGCUCCUUGUGUCUGUUUCCAAAGAAUUAUGACUUAGAAGGUUCAUGUGAGGUGAAGGAGAACAAGAAGAAAUAGACAUCAAGUUGAGAUGCUGUGCCAAACAUCUGGAGGAGAGAAUGAGGGCAUUAUGAGAAAACAGAUGGAAGGAAUUUAGCCAGAUAAAAUUAAAGGCAAUGCCCCUCAGCAUCUGAUUAGCCAAGAGAAUUUUAUUUAAAAGGAAAAUACCUAUAAAACCUGUAUUUUAACAAGACUUUGGACAAGAACUUUUAAAAAUCAGAGUUCUUAUCAGUACUUGAGGUUUAUUUUGAAGUCUUUAAUUUACUAAUUACUGUGUGGAUCAUUUUGUUUUGUUUUUUUAAUUAGAGGCAAGACCCUCAUAGAUAACCCAAAUGCUUGUAGAUAAAGACCUCCACUAAAAAGUCUUUCUAUGUUAUUUUAAUUAACCCACUGAAAUUCCAUUAAAAAAAUCAGGGUCUAAAUCAAGCAUUUGUGGUGUGAGUUAAAUAUUUGUGUUUGCUGAGGAAAGCUGAUAAUGCCUCUUUGGGAAUUGGCUUUACCUCUGCAAGAAAGAGCUUAACUUUCGUGUAUGAACAUUUUAUCCAUUAACUGUACUGAGCACAGGGCUGAAGGUUCACCAGCUUGGCCAAGGCCCGUGAAAAUUUUUAAGAUCUGAUCUUAAAAAAUUUGUUGGAUCCAAAAUAAAACACUACACUCUAAAAAGCAAAUUAAUAAUUAUAUCAAGAAUAUAUAAGAAUACCAAAGCAAAAUUACAAAGAUGGCUUCAAAUCCUUACACAAAAUACUGUACUGUAUUUAAUGUGACAGAUGUGACAUGAGCCCUCUCAAAUCAAGAUUCCCGGGUCUUCCAGAGGUCCUAAAGUAGUGCUGCUCGUGAGGAGAAGCAGCUUUCUGUGAGAGCACAUACAUUCUUCUGUUACACAUUCCUUUUGUAACCCAGAAGGAAAAAAUCACCCUUUCCUUUAAUAUUCAGAUAAAAUGGCUUGAGUCUACAAUGCAGAAACUGGGAGAUGUAUGGCACACACCUCAAAAUUCUGUGGUGUUCCCUGGAAGUCUAUUGCUAUCCUAGUUAAAUCUUGCCCAGGCUUCCUGCUGCUUCUGACUUCUUGAUACUUGCCUACUUUCUCUUCUCCUGUGAUUUCUCUCCUCUUUCCAAACUAUAUCUAGCCACCUUUCUCCUCACUGCUUAUAAAUGUGCCACCAACAAAGGGUCUCUGUGCAUGACAGCCUUUGUUUAAUGUUUGGGAAUAAUGAAGAGGGGCUAGCACCUUACAGAAUAAUAAACAACUAAACAUGGAAUACAAUAGUAUAUUGUAUCUGUAGCUCCUCAUCCAUUCCCCCAGGGGAAAUUUCUUACCAGCGCUUUCUUGCCUUGGGCUCUGGCCUUCAACCAUAUGCCUGGGGCACACAGUUCCUGGCAAGAUUGCCAUUUUGCCAAAUCUCCUCUCUCAGCUCCCAGCAGCCCCUGCCUACCCCAGGAAAAGUGACCAUUCCUGUUACAGACCACCUAGCUCGCCUGGUACUUUUUAUUGCAUACCUAAUGAUGCCCAUUAUUGGACUUUCUUAGCAAAGACAUCUUUAGCCUGUAGUUAAAUUCUGUCACAUCCUUGAAAUGUGGAAGCUGCUCAGUAAUUUUCCCUUUUUUGGUUAGUAACGUUUACCUUUCUGUAAGAUCUCUAAAGAAGACCCACAUGCUCAAAAUAACAAGUGGCAUAUGUUUCAGCAAGCCGCCUUUCCCCUGAAGAAUUUUCUUUCUUUUUUUUUUUUUGCUAAGUCUUUGGGAAAAAAGUCCUUGGAGAUUCAAGUCCUUUGUUGUUUAACAGAGGAGACAGAGCCACAAGACCCAGAUUUUGCUUCCAGUAUUUCAACGUAUUUCAACUCAAAAUACUGAUUGACUCCAGGGUAGCAAAUUCAGAAAUGGAUUAUGAGGUAGAAAUAAUCACCCUUAGAGAAAUAAAUAAAAAAAGACAUGCAUGAGAAUAAGAAGCCAGCAAAGCCCCCAGGGGGGAGGUAGUAUAUAAGCUGGGCCUUGAAAGAGAAGGAGGAGCAUUUCCCAGGAAUGCUAGGGAAGCAUUUUCUUCAAUUGUAUUUGACUCUGGACAUCUUGACUGAAGACCACCUGAAAAAUCCAUUUCAUCUCGAUGCAGUUUAAAAGACAAAGUCACAAUGCUAAUUUUCUCCACAAAGAAUGAAAAAAACAUUCACUUAUUUUCACUGAAUUUGCUAAGCUACCAAUGGACUCUUUGAUUCUGACUUGGACUCCGUGCAUUAUUUUUCCCCAUUUAACCAAUGAAGAUCCUUCACAACCUUCAGUGGACAAGCGCUGUGCUGGCAUGACCGAACGAUAAGAUACAGCCUCUCUGACAGCCAAGAGAAGGAAGAUACGGAUGCAGAGAGAGACUUACAAAAUGAUGUAGUAAAUGGAAUAAUAGAUUUGGGCAAGGAGAGCCAUGGAUCCAGAGGGUGGCCAACUCUCUCCAGGGAGUUGUGGGGGUUCUGUGAGGAGGUAACAUCUGAGCUCCUUCCCAAAGGUUGAGAGAUCACUGGGUAACAAGGAGGAGGAGAGUGUUCCAAGGAGAGGACACAGACUGUGCCAAGGUGGAGAAAACAGUGGCCUGGAGUUGGAGCUGCGCUGACGGAGGGCAGGCGAGGAGGCUGGGGAAUCAGGCCAUGUGCUGAGGAUGCUCUUGGGGGUGCCCCUGAGGAAUGGGAACUGGUCAAGGUCACGGGGGCAGAAGAUGUGGUGAGACAGGCUGUCUGAGCAGGGGCUCUGACUGUACCUAAACCAGAUCCACAGAACAGGGUUGCUUCGAUGUUCUAUAGAUGGAGAUUCCACAUUAUAGUUCAUUGGGGGAAAAAAGGAAGCUGAAGCUUUAAAAGAAAAAGUGACAAUGAAAGGCAGGACAUGACAACUGCAGAUUUGUGAUUUAAAAAGACAACUCCAGCAUCAGUUACAAAGUAGAACAGAAGACGUGGAGACCAAUAAGGUAUUCACUGCAGUGGUUUGGGCAAGAGAUGAUAAAACCUUGAAAAAAAGUCAUAACGUAAGUGUAGAAACAAAAUGUUGCCACUGUGAGAUUUUCCAAUGUACGGCAGGGUGUUUCGUAAGGUAGGAACAUGUUCCAGAGAUCUAAGACUGUGAUGGGUGAAAAGGGAGAAAUGAAUAGUACACUAAAGUGCUUAUUCAUUCCAUAGCCCUGUGUCCCUUACCAUGAUAGGGCCUUACUGUCACCGGUUAGGACUGUCCUCGUGACCCCUCUUCCUUCUUAGUGGGAUCCAGCUGACAGCUGGUAACGGGCAUGGGACGGCAAAAAGGUGUCAAACACAGAUGGGGAAUCCCUAAAAGGUUCAGCCACUUCUCUGCCUCAGAUGAGAAGAAGGUUCUCCAUGCGGAGCCAGAGGAUAAUGAGCUUUGAUGAGAGGCCUCCCCUUACACUCCUGUGUAAGGAGUCCCUGAGUUCACAGAAGCACGGCCUCCCUCUUUCCUGUUGUGCUAAGUGCCUACCCCUGGCCUCUGUCACACUGGGGGCCCCUCUCCUGUCCCAUGGCCCUGCGAAUGCCUGCUUCCCUCCCUCCCCUCCCCUCCCUCAAGGUGCAGUACCAUCCCCCUCCCUUCCCACAAACUGCGAAAGAACAGAGGAUGGUGAAGGAAGAGGAGGGUGAGACCAUCAUGGUGGCCGAGCCGAAGGUGGGGUGUGUAAAAUGUAAUUAGACAUCAAGCGAACUACAAAGAUGAAGUUCCUGCUAACCAGUCUCUUGAAGCCCGUAAUGCCAAAAGAGUGCUUCCCAAAUUUUUGUUGCAUUCCGGUAUAGAUACAGAUAUCGAUGUGGACAUUGACACAGAUAGAUACAGAUAUAGACAUACUUAAACAUAUAGUCUCUCUAUUUUCUUAACUUUGGGAGGAUCUUAGUUCUCCCAAGGAGAGCAGAGGCCGGCGGGCACCAGCUGCUGCGUCCUCACUGGUGGGACGGUGAGUUUGGCUGGCAGGAAAGAAAGUAAACCCAGAGGCAGUAGCUGGUAAAGGCAGACGUCCUGCUAACUCAGGACAUCUUUCUUCUUCAAAGCCCCGAGUCUCCAUUUCCUUUUCAAUAAAUUCUACUCUAUCUUUCCAACCCUCUCAGUUCUCUGUAAAUCUUCCCCUUUGACAUUAAUCCGUACUGACUGACUGCUCUCUGAACUACCGUUGCGGUGAAGUGGUUAGAACUGAGGACCUUGGGAGCAGUCAGGUUUGAGUUUGAAUUCUUGUGAAGGUGUACAUUUAUUGGGUGAGCGCUGGCAAAUUAUUUAACCUCCCUGAGCCUCCAGGUCAUAAAGCCUAAUAUCACAGACCACUGCCUCCACAUCAGGCGUUGUUUUAAGCACUACACCUACAUUACCUCACUUAAUAUAUGCUCUGUAAGGUAAGUUUAACGAUUAUCCUUAUAUAUAGAAGCAAAGAGAGGGACAACAGUGUUCAAAAGGUCACAUGGCCAGCAGCAGAGGCUAGACACACCGAUUAAACAUCUGGGAAGGCGUAUUCUGUCUGGGCAGGAAAUGCCAGGCCACAGUUGGGACCAGAACCUUGUUAUCUGAGUCCAGAGCCUGACACUACCCACUACACCCUUCUGCCUCCCCACAUCUGUGCUCUGAGCUUGUGGCUGUAGGUAGAACUCAAGAGACUAGCAUGUAAAGUCCUCGGUAUGGUGCCUGGCAUACAGCAAACACUCCAUAAAUGGAAACAAUUAUUACUAAGAUUGUCUAUUUAAAUUUUAUUAUUAUUCACUUAUCAGUUAGAUGUCACCUUGUAUCAUUAGCUCUGUGUCUGUCCCAUCUCCCUACCAUCCUGUACCCCUGAAAGAAGGAGCCAGGCCACCCAUCUACCUCUCCACAGCACAGGCCUGGGAACCCGUGAGCCAGUAUACACGGAUUGGAGAUCCUUCUAGAUCGAGCAGUAUCUCCUGCUGCGCGUUUCCCCCGUUUAAUCCAAAAGAAUCAGCAUGAUGGCAGAGUAUGCGUUUAUACACAUUCUUGUCUUGUGUCUUCAUAAUAUGCACUGCCUGGAGAACACAGGAGUCACUGACCCGGCCAUAAACCAGGCUCACAGGAGAAAGAGAACAAGGAAGUGUGGGAGUGAAGGGGAGGAGGGGGAAGAGCGGGAGAGGAAAGAGAGAUGCUCCUUUUCAAGAAUCUUUAAGCAUCCUUCAGACAAGCUAUGACAUUCCUCUAUUUGAUGACAUUCCUCUGUUUUUCCCAAACCUCACCUUCCAAGGGUUUGUAUUAACUACCAUGUAGGGAAAGCUUUCAUCCCUUUUAAACAUCAGGCAAAAUCAAGAAUGUGGCAGUCAUGAAACUCCCAUUCUGCUCUAAUAGAAUCGGUAUUGCCACCUUAGCAAUCGCGGAUGUAAGUCCUCUGCAAAGGUGUCAAGGAUGUUCUAUUUUUGGCCUGAGCCUGUUUCAGCAGUGAUGAGAAAAAAGCAGGCCAGAAGAACACAGAAAAUAGUUGAGGGCAUCUAUAAUAUCCAUGAAAGUGACAUGGAAGGCACUUGCAUGUGUCAGAUGGAGGAGAAAAUUUGAAACAAAAGGAAAAUCUGGAGGCGGACUAUUUAACAUUCAUUUAUGCAUUCAUUCAACAAAUAUUUGCUGAGUGCCUACUUGGUGCAAAGCACUGCAUGAGGUGAUCUUAUGGAGGAUAUAAAUAUUAAACAUGCUCAGCUCCUGCCCUUCUCUUACAGUCAAGUGGGGGAGAUAAGGCAUGCACAUAUUUAUAAUUUAGUGGUGUCAUGUAAAUGCUUGAGGUGGGAAUCCGUGGGCUAAAUGGCUAUAUUAGUCAUUCUACUGAGAGUGAAGAUGCAAAUCAACCUGACCCACAAGAUCAUCAGGCAGUACACGGCAUCAGCCUUCUGGCCUUUCUGUAAACCAACAGGUCCUCUGCCUUAGACCCAGACUCUCAGGGAAUGCCAUUAUCCAAGUCCUCUGUCCUUCAGAGGUAGUAAUGGCUUUGCGAAUUAUACUCCGAAUCUUGUAUUCAGUGGCAGAGGAUUUCAACGCUCUUACGAUGAGUGGAUUCAGAAUUUCAGGGGGCCAGUGUCCCAUAGUGGCUUAGCACAAAGGCUCCAGAAGGACAGUCAUGGACUUGCUUUUCAACACUGCCUAUUGGUUCCUUGACAGGGAACUUCUCUGAACCUCUGUUUCCUCCUCCAUAAAAUGUCAGUAGAGAGGAGUCUCUGAAAGAAUGUGCUCUGAAAUAAGAGGACUCAAAAAAAAACAGACAUUGAAGUUGUCAUGGUCAUUUUGUGUUCAGAGUUAGGUACUACUUACCAUAUUAGGUUCUAGCCUUGCAGCCUAUUCUUGGUUCUUCCUUCUGUCCUGUGUGAUACUAGGUUAACUAAUUCACUGUUCUCUUCCUCAUUUUUUUUAAUUGCCAUGGUAAAAUAUAUGUAACAUAAAAAAUUACCAGUUUAACCAUUUUUAAGUACACAGUUCAGUGGCAUUAAAUACAUUCACAUUGUUAGACAAUCAUCACCACCAUCCAUCUCCAGAAGUUUUUCAUCUUCCCGAACUGAAACCUCAUACCCAUUAAAUGGUAAUUCCCCUGCCCUCUUCCCCCAGCCUCUGGCAAUCACUGUUCUGCUUUCUAUCUCGAUGAAUGUAACUUCUCUAAGUACCUCCUGUAAGUGGACGUAUACAAUAUUACUACUUCUGUGUAUGGCUUAUUUCACUUAGAUAAUGUCUUCAAGGUUCAGCCUUAUUGUACCAUGCAUUGGAAUUUCA
Manis pentadactyla (Chinese pangolin) is the source of this 10485-nucleotide long non-coding RNA. RefSeq lists it as uncharacterized. The transcript has 3 exons. The record is from RefSeq and is a predicted model, not a curated record. NCBI's taxonomy places the organism in Eukaryota, Metazoa, Chordata, Mammalia, Pholidota, Manidae.